RNAcentral lists this ribosomal RNA (274 nucleotides) under uncultured bacterium. Its description in RNAcentral is "partial 16S ribosomal RNA". It matches the Rfam family "Bacterial small subunit ribosomal RNA", at positions 523 to 796 of the family's 1533-position model. The record is from RNAcentral.
AUACGAAGGGGGCUAGCGUUGUUCGGAAUUACUGGGCGUAAAGCGUACGUAGGCGGACUGAUCAGUUGGGGGUGAAAUCCCAGGGCUUAACCCUGGAACUGCCUUCAAUACUGUCAGUCUUGAGAUUGGAAGAGGUGAGUGGAAUUCCUAGUGUAGAGGUGAAAUUCAUAGAUAUUAGGAGGAACACCAGUGGCGAAGGCGGCUCACUGGUCCAAUACUGACGCUGAGGUACGAAAGCGUGGGGAGCAAACAGGAUUAGAAACCCCAGUAGUCC